AGAGUUGAUCCUGGCUCAGGAUGAACGCUAGCGACAGGCUAACACAUGCAAGUCGAGGGGCAGCAUAGAAGUAGCAAUACUUGGUGGCGACCGGCGCACGGGUGAGUAACGCGUAUGCAACCUACCUAUCAGAGGGGAAUAACCCGGCGAAAGUCGGACUAAUACCGCAUAAAACAGGGGCACCGCAUGGUGAUAUUUGUUAAAGAAAUUCGCUGAUAGAUGGGCAUGCGUUCCAUUAGGUAGUUGGUGAGGUAACGGCUCACCAAGCCGACGAUGGAUAGGGGAACUGAGAGGUUGGUCCCCCACACUGGUACUGAGACACGGACCAGACUCCUACGGGAGGCAGCAGUGAGGAAUAUUGGUCAAUGGGCGGGAGCCUGAACCAGCCAAGUCGCGUGAAGGAAGAAGGAUCUAUGGUUCGUAAACUUCUUUUGCAGGGGAAUAAAGUGCAGGACGUGUCCUGUUUUGUAUGUACCCUGAGAAUAAGGAUCGGCUAACUCCGUGCCAGCAGCGGC
Molecule: ribosomal RNA, 515 nt
Filed under: uncultured bacterium
Lineage: Bacteria
Description: bacterial SSU rRNA
Rfam family: Bacterial small subunit ribosomal RNA
Source: RNAcentral